AGUAUAGCCUCUUUCAGACACACCCCUAAUCUAAUGUCAGUUUAACAUGUUAUUCUCAUGUCUGAAUAAGGGCCUGAGUCACUUUUAAGUAAAGGUCAUGAAGAAAGAAAAGACAGAGAAAGAGAGAAAUGUGUUCAAAGAUCAGUAAGUAAUACUUGUAUUCUCUCAAUCUUCAUCCCUUGACGCGUCAAUUACACUAACAGGAAUAAAUAAUGACCCUCUAACUAGAUGAAGACAGCGGUGUUGUCUGAAAAGAGUUUAUGUAGAAAAAGUCACGGCCCAAAGUACUGUAGUUUCACCCCAGAGCAGGUCAGCUGGUGUACGUCUGUCCAUCUGUAUGUGUUACUGCCUGCACGUUAAUCUGUCUAUCAUGUCCAUGUUUGUCUUUUACCUGAUUAUUGUUUUUUUUCUCUUCAGAGUCGGACACUUCAUCAACUACAGGAAGUCAAGACAGCACCUCACUAUUGAUCUAGAAGUUUGAAGAGGAGGGUGAACUCUGCUCCAUGAGAAAUGGGAAUCGGAAUUUAACUUUUUGGAAAAGAAAUAAACAUGUUUUAUUACAGUAAAGACACAAUCUGCUGCGUUGCUAGAUGCCACGCCUAUACACAGAACAUACUUAAAAUAAAAGCAUCAAUACUAAACGUAUUUUACAGUACAGUUUACAGCACACUGAUAGAAUACUUAUAUCUACUGCUAGUAUUUAGAGACAAGUAAUGUUUGUAUCUUUUGUAAAAAGUAAUUGAUCAAUGAUUCUCAAACUAACUUCUUGUUUGGUUAAGUAGAUAAACGUCAGAUGAAGUUGACCUGCUAUUUCAUUCUUUUGUACUGUUGAUUUGCUUUUUAAUAAAGUCCCAGAUUUUCUAAA
Long non-coding RNA from Micropterus dolomieu (smallmouth bass), 865 nucleotides. RefSeq lists it as uncharacterized. The transcript has 2 exons. The record is from RefSeq and is a predicted model, not a curated record. Lineage: Eukaryota; Metazoa; Chordata; Actinopteri; Centrarchiformes; Centrarchidae.